Molecule: long non-coding RNA, 422 nt
Organism: Neomonachus schauinslandi (Hawaiian monk seal)
Lineage: Eukaryota; Metazoa; Chordata; Mammalia; Carnivora; Phocidae
Exons: 3
Source: RefSeq, a predicted model, not a curated record
GCCGCCGCGCACCUCCUCCUUUGUCACAAUGUUUUUCAAUCCGGUGAAGCAAACUGUCCAAUUAGAGCCGGGGCCUCCAGCUUCCAUCUUUGCCGACGUUUAAUUAACAUGCUCCUCUUGGCAGCUGCUGACAAGUUCCAGAAACAGCUCCGUGUGCGCAGGUGCGCAUGUCUCCUGGUCUCUACGCUCACGUCUGCUGACGUCAGGCACCUGCGAGGCCCUACACGUGCGCAAACACCCCUGCCGGGGUCUGUGGGCCUGCAAGAGCACCAGCUGACCCCCUCUGAGGGCCGACCUGCACCCGGUACCGUGCUGCCCGCUGCGGGGAGGAUUUCUGUCCGUCUCCACAGCAAGCCCAGGAGGAAGCCUUCCUGGAUCCUCCACGCAGAUGUGGUGUCCACCUCCAGACCCUUAUCUCUCAC